This 488-nucleotide ribosomal RNA is filed under the name uncultured eukaryote. RNAcentral's name for it is "eukaryotic LSU rRNA". It matches the Rfam family "Eukaryotic large subunit ribosomal RNA", at positions 1896 to 2400 of the family's 3401-position model. The record is from RNAcentral.
UAAUGCAGAUAAGGGAAUUCGGCAAUUAGAUCCGUAACUUCGGAAAAGGAUUGGCUCUGAGGAUUGGAUUCAAGGGCCCAUUCAUGAAAGCUUAGCUGUCUUGGAACUGCGGAGGCAACGAAGUGGCUCCAGGAUAGCGAACGCUGGAAUGGGUGGGACGUCUUCAUCGGCUUUCCUUGAAUAAUUAACAAUUAACUCAGAACUGAAGCGGACAAGGGGAAUCCGACUGUUUAAUAAAAACAUAGUAUUGUGAUGGCCUGAAAAGGUGUUGACACAAUGUGAAUUCUGCCCAGUGCUUUGAAUGUCAAAGUGAAGAAAUUCAACCAAGCGCAGGUAAACGGCGGGAGUAACUAUGACUCUCUUAAGGUAGCCAAAUGCCUCGUCAUCUAAUUAGUGACGCGCAUGAAUGGAUCAAUGAGAUUCCCACUGUCCCUAUCUGCUACCUAGCGAACACACAGCCAAGGGAACAGGCUUGGAAUAAUCAGCGG